This 440-nucleotide ribosomal RNA is filed under the name uncultured bacterium. RNAcentral describes it as "partial 16S ribosomal RNA". It matches the Rfam family "Bacterial small subunit ribosomal RNA", at positions 339 to 795 of the family's 1533-position model. The record is from RNAcentral.
CUACGGGUGGCUCCAGUGGGGAAUAUUGCACAAUGGGCGCAAGCCUGAUGCAGCAACGCCGCGUGAGUGAUGAAGGCCUUCGGGUCGUAAAACUCUGUCCUCAAGGAAGAAUAAAUGACGGUACUUGAGGAGGAAGCCCCGGCUAACUACGUGCCAGCAGCCGCGGUAAUACGUAGGGGGCAAGCGUUAUCCGGAAUCACUGGGCGUAAAAGGUGCGUAGGCGGUCUAACAAGCCAGGAGUGAAAGGCAGUAGCUCAACCAUUGUAAGCUUUUGGAACUGUUGGACUUGAGUGCAGGAGAGGAAAGUGGAAUUCCUAGUGUAGAGGUGAAAUUCGUAGAUAUUAGGAGGAACACCAGUGGCGAAGGCGACUUUCUGGACUGUAACUGACGCUGAGGCACGAAAGCGUGGGGAGCGAACAGGAUUAGAUACCCUGGUAGUC